Molecule: ribosomal RNA, 406 nt
Filed under: uncultured bacterium
Lineage: Bacteria
Description: partial 16S ribosomal RNA
Rfam family: Bacterial small subunit ribosomal RNA
Source: RNAcentral
AUUGAACGCUGGCGGCAGGCCUAACACAUGCAAGUCGAACGAGUGGCGGACGGGUGAGUAAUGUCUGGGAAACUGCCCGAUGGAGGGGGAUAACUACUGGAAACGGUAGCUAAUACCGCAUACCAUCGGAUGUGCCCAGAUGGGAUUAGCUUGUAGGUGAGGUAACGGCUCACCUAGGCGACGAUCCCUAGGUGGUCUGAGAGGAUGACCAGCCACAUGGGAACGGAGACACGGUCCAGACUCCGAGGGGAGGCAGAAGGGGGGAAUAUUGCACAAUGGGAGAAAGCCUGAGGGAGCAAGGCCGCGUGUAGGAAGAAGGCCUGCGGGUUGUAAAGUACUGUCAGCGGGGAGGCGUUACCCGCAGAAGAAGCACCGGCUAACUCCGUGCCAGCAGCCGCGGUAAUUC